GCCGGGUGUGGUGGCGCACACCUGUAGUUCCAGCUACUCAGAGGCUGAGGCAGGAGAAUUGCUUGAACCCAGGAGGCAGAGGCUGCAGUGAGCUGAGAUUGCGCCACUGCACUGCAGCCUGGGUGACAGAGCAAGACUCUGUCUCAA
Unclassified non-coding RNA from Pongo abelii (Sumatran orangutan), 147 nucleotides. It matches the Rfam family "Metazoan signal recognition particle RNA". From Rfam's summary of the family: The signal recognition particle (SRP) is a universally conserved ribonucleoprotein. The record is from Ensembl. NCBI's taxonomy places the organism in Eukaryota, Metazoa, Chordata, Mammalia, Primates, Hominidae.